Molecule: long non-coding RNA, 467 nt
Organism: Camelus dromedarius (Arabian camel)
Lineage: Eukaryota; Metazoa; Chordata; Mammalia; Artiodactyla; Camelidae
Exons: 4
Source: RefSeq, a predicted model, not a curated record
AUCUGAAAACCCUGUCCUCAGCCUUUGAUAAUUUCAGCUGUUUUAUGAAAGUCCUCCAUGUGGAUGAAAGUAUCAUCAAGCCGGAGCAAGAGUUUUUCAUUGCCCUAUUUGAGAAGAGCUGCGUGAACGACUUUUAUAUUCAGGAUAGAGAUACAUUCUUCAAUCCAGCCACCAGAAGCCACAUUUGCAACUUCAGCCUCCGUCAGAGGACCUCAGCUGCCCCAGCGAACAGGGCCUUCUGUACAGGGAAUGGGCUCCUCCUCGAAGCAUAGACAAGAAGCAGCCCUUAGAUCUCAUCAGGAAAUUCUAUGGAGAGACGGUUGGAAUCUACUUUGCUUGGCUGGGCUAUUACACUCAGAUGCUCCUCCUGGCAGCAGUCGUGGGGGUGACUUGCUUUCUGUAUGGAUAUUUUAAUCAAAAUAACUGUACCUGGAGGAUGAGGAAAAUGACACUCAGGGAGAGGAGGC